Molecule: long non-coding RNA, 1050 nt
Organism: Brassica oleracea var. oleracea
Lineage: Eukaryota; Viridiplantae; Streptophyta; Magnoliopsida; Brassicales; Brassicaceae
Exons: 3
Source: RefSeq, a predicted model, not a curated record
AGGAAAAUUUAUCAUUGGCUAAUCCUUGAAAACAAGGAUAACAACUUCUAACCAUUGAUUGAUGUUAAUCCAAUGGCCAAAACUGUUCUUUUUUUGGUUCUUCUCCUCUCUUGUCAUUGGCUGAUUUUCUAACACAAAGAUUGAUAUUCUUAGCCAUUGAUUGAUGUUAAUCUAAUGGCUAGAAAUCAUUCAUUGAAAACAUUCAUUUGUUUUCUCCUCUCUUCCUUCUACGACAGAUCUAUCAUCUCCAUCUUCUCUUUUGUUUCCAAAUCUUCUUCUUCUUCACUCUCCUCUGUCCAAUUCUCUCAUCCCACUGCCUCCCUCCAGACGAAAAUGGGUGCUUUCAAGGUUGUUAAAAUAGCUAUCCCAACAGAGAGGGAUGUGCAGCCCAAAAGUCACCGGAUAAUGCUCUGGGCUACGAAAAAAGUUUCACCGGAUUAGAAGAGCUGGUGCCUCCACAGACUCUUGAGUAGUUCGAGAAGAUACGGAGAGAAGACAGAGCCGGAAAUGGAUUUCCACCUCUGCAAAGGAGGGAGGGGAAGAAGACGCAACGACGGCGAGAUGGCGGAAGAAGAUUGGAGGAGAGGAAGAUCUGGUGGAGAUGACAACAGCGAGCACGUCCGAGAUGAGGAAGAAGACGCGACGGCAGCUGAGGAAGAAGACGCGACGGUGGCUGAGGAAGAAGACGCGGCGGAGCAGCGGCAGUGACAAGGCGGAAGACAGAUGAGCUAUGAGUUUUUGUGUUAAACGGUUAACCACUUACCAUUUCAGACUAUAAGAUCAGCUAAGGAUGAGAAGACAAAUCGAGCAAGAGAGAGGAAGAGAUAAGACAGAUCUAGUGGGAGAGGGAAGAAGAGAACGCACGGUGAGGAAGAGAAGAUAUUAGGUUUACACUUUUUUUUAAUGAAAAUUUGGGUGGCUGUGAAUUAAACCGCGUUCCUGUAAUUGGUUUACCCGGGAAAUAUUUUGAUGAAAUUUUUUGCCCGGGAGUUAAAAGUUUGUAGUUACUUUCGUACUUUUACAUAAUAUGAAAUCCAAACACUUUUACUU